This 119-nucleotide ribosomal RNA is filed under the name Pteropus alecto (black flying fox). The record is from RNAcentral. Lineage: Eukaryota; Metazoa; Chordata; Mammalia; Chiroptera; Pteropodidae.
GUCUAUGGCCAUGCUACCCUGAACAAGCCUGAUCCCACCUGAUCUCAGAAGCUAAGCAGGAUCAGGCCUGGUUAGUACUUGGAUGGGAGACCACCUAGGAAGGCCUGUAGGCAUGAAAA